Molecule: ribosomal RNA, 501 nt
Filed under: uncultured soil bacterium
Lineage: Bacteria
Description: bacterial SSU rRNA
Rfam family: Bacterial small subunit ribosomal RNA
Source: RNAcentral
AGGAUGAACGCUAGCGGCAGGCUUAAUACAUGCAAGUCGAGGGGCAGCGCAGUGUAGCAAUACAUGGGCGGCGACCGGCAAACGGGUGCGGAACACGUACAGAACCUUCCUUCGAGCGGGGAAUAGCCCAGAGAAUUUGGAUUAAUACCCCAUAGUAUUGCGGAGUGGCAUCACUUUGCAAUUAAAGAUUUAUCACUUGAAGAUGGCUGUGCGGCUGAUUAGGUAGUUGGCGGGGUAACGGCCCACCAAGCCUGCGAUCAGUAACUGGUGUGAGAGCACGACCAGUCACACGGGCACUGAGACACGGGCCCGACUCCUACGGGAGCAGCAGUAAGGAAUAUUGGUCAAUGGACGCAAGUCUGAACCAGCCAUGCCGCGUGGAGGAUGAACGGUCCUCUGGAUUGUAAACUUUCUUUUUAUUAGGAACGUAAAAGGUCUUUACUAGAUUCAACUGACGUACAGAUAGAAUAAGCAACCGGCUAACUCCGUAGACCAGCAACG